This is an RNA transcript of Populus trichocarpa (black cottonwood), 1615 nucleotides long. It is a transcript of the gene named protein BASIC PENTACYSTEINE2, with no coding region annotated. The record is from RefSeq and is a predicted model, not a curated record. The transcript has 2 exons. NCBI's taxonomy places the organism in Eukaryota, Viridiplantae, Streptophyta, Magnoliopsida, Malpighiales, Salicaceae.
UUUUAUUGAUUGCAGGUUUCUCAGAAACUAACCUCUCUGCUCUAGAUGAAUUUGGACCCUUCAAAGUCAACAUUUAUAAACCAUACUCAUGAACACAGUUAACAUGCAAACCUAAUUAAGAAAUAUAUAUUCUCAGAAAGCCAGGAAAAAAGGAGGUAGCCAAUUAACCUGUGCGCGUUUAAAGGCAUACAAGGUGCAAGUUCAAAAAGGAGUAAAAAGUGGAUGGAGUGCGAAUGAGAAAUGUAAGAAAUUCUUGGGAUUUAAUUGAUAAGAUUUAUAGAUUUGGGAUACAAUCUAAAAUGGUGACAUGGUAAUUAGCACUUACAAAAAUGGCGUGCAUAACUUCAUUUAUGUUUUGUUCAAAAGAAAAAAAAAAACUUCAUUUUUGUGCUGUUAAGUGGACGGGAAGAAGAACCCGAAAAAGCUCUCUUCAUCUUCUUCCAGGUGAACACAAUGCUGACAACAAAUUGUGUUAAGGUUAAAUAAGUUAUCUUGAAUUGUCCAAGUUUGAAAUAAUGGAUGAAGAUAACAGUUUGAAUAUUCGUAAUUGGGGCUACUAUGAACCAACAUCUGUUAAAGGAAAUCUGGGCCUUCAGCUCAUGUUCCCACCUGAGAACCCUUUUUGGGUGACGCAGUGCUGCGAUCAUGGCAAGUGUCAAUGGAGGUUUUCACCAUAGGGAUACUGGGGUUUGGCAGCCCAUGUUCCAUAUAGAGUACAUGAGGGAUGCUUGGACUGGCCAGAGAGAGACGUUUCUCAAUGCGUUGCCUGGAAACCAUAGUUAUGCAGCAGUUUUGCCUGGAACAUCUUCAGCUCAUCAUAUGCAUAUGUUUCAACCACCUGAUUUGGUAAAUCAUGAAACAAUGGACCAAGUCAAAGAGGCUGGUGUUGUUGAAAAGGAAAAUGUUCCUAAUAAGAAGAGGCAGCGUCCUAAAGCCCUGAAAUCCCCUAAAGUAAAGAAGGAUAUGAGAGGCCCUCGAGCACCCAAGCCUGAGGGUAGUCCUUCUGUUCAACUAGUAAGGUCUGCCAAGAAAACUGCCGAAAUUAUGAUAAAUGGGAUCAAUAUAGACAUUUCAGUCAUUCCUAUACCGGUUUCUUUGUGUAUGGGACCCCAACAAUGUUAUCAUUGGGUUUGUGGUGGGUGGCUAUCGGUAUGUUGUAUGACUUGCAUAUCUAUGUAUCCCUUGCCUAUGAGUACAAAAAGGCAUGGUUCGAGGAUAGCAGGGAGAAAAAAAUGAGUUUAGGAGCUUUUAAGGUGGUCUUAGAGAAACUCGCUGGUGAAGGCUAUGACUUUCUAAUCCAUAGAUUUGAGAACUCACUGGGCUAAACAUGGUACGAACAAGUUUAUCACUAUCAGGUAGAUGUACCAUUUGGAUCUUUAUAUUGCCCAAGUAUUGCAACUCAGCAAGUUUCUGUAUAUUUUUUAAUGCAUCUGGUCUUGGCAGAGGCUUCUAAUGUAGUUUGUUGUUGAUGGGUUUCUGUCACAUACGGUGAUUUUGAAAUUGUGCCUUUUUGGCACUACAACUGUUGUUUUAUCCUCUUUCUGCUGGUAGUCUUAGCUGUUUCGAACUUAUUGAGGCCAGGGAAAAUGAUAUAGUAAACGAUAUUUUCUUAACA